GGUUAAGUCCCGCAACGAGCGCAACCCCUAUUGUUAGUUGCCAUCAUUCAGUUGGGCACUCUAGCGAGACUGCCGGUAAUAAACCGGAGGAAGGUGGGGAUGACGUCAAAUCAUCAUGCCCCUUAUGACCUGGGCUACACACGUGCUACAAUGGUUGGUACAACGAGUUGCGAGUCGGUGACGGCGAGCUAAUCUCUUAAAGCCAAUCUCAGUUCGGAUUGUAGGCUGCAACUCGCCUACAUGAAGUCGGAAUCGCUAGUAAUCGCGGAUCAGCACGCCGCGGUGAAUACGUUCCCGGGCCU
RNAcentral lists this ribosomal RNA (302 nucleotides) under uncultured Streptococcus sp. RNAcentral describes it as "bacterial SSU rRNA". It matches the Rfam family "Bacterial small subunit ribosomal RNA", at positions 1078 to 1381 of the family's 1533-position model. The record is from RNAcentral. Lineage: Bacteria; Bacillati; Bacillota; Bacilli; Lactobacillales; Streptococcaceae.